Molecule: ribosomal RNA, 346 nt
Filed under: Artemisia environmental sample
Lineage: Eukaryota; Viridiplantae; Streptophyta; Magnoliopsida; Asterales; Asteraceae
Description: eukaryotic LSU rRNA
Rfam family: 5.8S ribosomal RNA (bases 1-84)
Source: RNAcentral
UGCAGAAUCCCGUGAACCAUCGAGUUUUUGAACGCAAGUUGCGCCCGAAGCCUUUUGGCCGAGGGCACGUCUGCCUGGGCGUCACGCAUCGCGUCGCCCCCCACAAUUCUCCGCAAAGGGAACAUGUGUUUUGGGGGCGGAUAUUGGUCUCCCGUGCUCAUGGCGUGGUUGGCCGAAAUAGGAGUCCUUUUGACGGACGCACGAACUAGUGGUGGUCGUAAAAACCCUCGUCUUUUGUUUCGUGCCGUCAGUCGCAAGGGAAACUCUUGGAAAACCCCAACGUGUCGUCUCUUGACGACGCUUCGACCGCGACCCCAGGUCAGGCGGGACUACCCGCUGAGUUUAA